Long non-coding RNA from Hyaena hyaena (striped hyena), 278 nucleotides. RefSeq lists it as uncharacterized. The transcript is spliced from 3 exons. The record is from RefSeq and is a predicted model, not a curated record. Lineage: Eukaryota; Metazoa; Chordata; Mammalia; Carnivora; Hyaenidae.
ACGGCAGGGAAGUCUCAUCACUGCGAAGGGGACGCGCCAUCCGUCUCUCCUGGCAACUGAGGACAGAGAAGGUCUGAGCACUUGCCCUCCCCGGCCUCCCACCCGCUUCGGAGGUGUAUUCAUUACCUUUGAAAAUGCUCAGUUCUUCGGUCCAGGGCGGGGCAGAAGGGAGGGAGGAAAGAGAGAGACAGGAGGUACUCAAACACAGAAGAGAGGAGUCUGGAAGCUCAGAAGGCUUCACAAAAAACGACAAAGGGGAGAUGAGGAGGAGCAAGAAG